GUAUACUUCAAAAUGCAAAUGAGAGAACAAAUGGCACAUAUUCCUAAAUUUUUUAAUUUCAUAAUUAUUUUUCUUUUCAUGUUUUUGGUUGUAACGGAUGGUAUCGUCGUAACAAUUUUCAAAUGCCACUCUAAUAAAGAAUGUCGUAUAAAAAUGACUACUUGCAUUCGUCCCAGAAAGCCAAAGUGUAUAGCAGGCAUAUGUAAAUGUUUUUAAUAUUGAGAAUAAGGCUAAGAUAUAUAAAGCACUGUUAAAUGACAAAAUGUUAGAGUGCAAGACAGGCCCAAGAGAUUCACAAAAAGGCUCAUAUGGCAGCAAGACUUUAUUAUGGGAUAAACAUGUUAUUUGAGAAACUAUUUUAAGUUUAAUUUUACUUUUCCUCCAAGCGGGCCUUAGGACCUAGAGUUCACAGUCCAGCAAAGCUGAUGUAUUUAAAUGAAUUUCUUGAAUUAAAAACCAAGCAGAAAUUUUAUCA
Molecule: long non-coding RNA, 475 nt
Organism: Vicia villosa (hairy vetch)
Lineage: Eukaryota; Viridiplantae; Streptophyta; Magnoliopsida; Fabales; Fabaceae
Exons: 3
Source: RefSeq, a predicted model, not a curated record